UGGGGAAUAUUGGGCAAUGGGGCAACCUGAUCCAGCCAUGCCGCGUGAGUGAUGAAGGCCUUCGGGUUGUAAAGCUCUUUUGGCGGGGACGAUGAUGACGGUACCCGCAGAAUAAGCCCCGGCUAACUUCGUGCCAGCAGCCGCGGUAAGACGAAGGGGGCUAGCGUUGUUCGGAAUUACUGGGCGUAAAGCGAGUGUAGGCGGUUGCCGUAGUCAGGUGUGAAAGCCUUGAGCUCAACUCAAGAAAUGCACUUGAUACUGGGUGACUAGAGGACCGGAGAGGAUAGUGGAAUUCCCAGUGUAGUGGUGAAAUACGUAGAGAUUGGGAAGAACACCAGUGGCGAAGGCGGCUAUCUGGACGGUUACUGACGCUAAGACUCGAAAGCGUGGGGAGCAAACAGGAUUAGAUACCCUGGUAGUCCACGCCGUAAACGAUGGGUGCUAGACGUUGGCGAGCUU
Molecule: ribosomal RNA, 459 nt
Filed under: uncultured bacterium
Lineage: Bacteria
Description: partial 16S ribosomal RNA
Rfam family: Bacterial small subunit ribosomal RNA
Source: RNAcentral